GAUGAACGCUGGCGGCGUGCCUAAUACAUGCAAGUCGAGCGAACAGACGAGGAGCUUGCUCCUCUGACGUUAGCGGCGGACGGGUGAGUAACACGUGGAUAACCUACCUAUAAGACUGGGAUAACUUCGGGAAACCGGAGCUAAUAACGGAUAAUAUAUUGAACCGCAUGGUUCAAUAGUGAAAGACGGUUUUGCUGUCACUUAUAGAUGGAUCCGCGCCGCAUUAGCUAGUUGGUAAGGUAACGGCUUACCAAGGCGACGAUGCGUAGCCGACCUGAGAGGGUGAUCGGCCACACUGGAACUGAGACACGGUCCAGACUCCUACGGGAGGCAGCAGUAGGGAAUCUUCCGAAAUGGGCGAAAGCCUGACGGAGCAACGCCGCGUGAGUGAUGAAGGUCUUCGGAUCGUAAAACUCUGUUAUUAGGGAAGAACAAAUGUGUAAGUAACUAUGCACGUCUUGACGGUUCCUAAUCAGAAAGCCACGGCUAACUACGUG
RNAcentral lists this ribosomal RNA (497 nucleotides) under uncultured bacterium. RNAcentral describes it as "partial 16S ribosomal RNA". It matches the Rfam family "Bacterial small subunit ribosomal RNA", at positions 28 to 507 of the family's 1533-position model. The record is from RNAcentral.